Molecule: ribosomal RNA, 476 nt
Filed under: Xanthomonas sp. oral taxon 037
Lineage: Bacteria; Pseudomonadati; Pseudomonadota; Gammaproteobacteria; Lysobacterales; Lysobacteraceae
Description: bacterial SSU rRNA
Rfam family: Bacterial small subunit ribosomal RNA
Source: RNAcentral
AGUGAACGCUGGCGGUAGGCCUAACACAUGCAAGUCGAACGGCAGCACAGGAGAGCUUGCUCUCUGGGUGGCGAGUGGCGGACGGGUGAGGAAUGCAUCGGAAUCUACUCUUUCGUGGGGGAUAACGUAGGGAAACUUACGCUAAUACCGCAUACGACCUACGGGUGAAAGCCGGGGACCUUCGGGCCUGGCGCGAAAGAAUGAGCCGAUGCCCGAUUAGCUAGUUGGCGGGGUAAGAGCCCACCAAGGCGACGAUCGGUAGCUGGUCUGAGAGGAUGAUCAGCCACACUGGAACUGAGACACGGUCCAGACUCCUACGGGAGGCAGCAGUGGGGAAUAUUGGACAAUGGGCGCAAGCCUGAUCCAGCCAUACCGCGUGGGUGAAGAAGGCCUUCGGGUUGUAAAGCCCUUUUGUUGGGAAAGAAAAGCAGUCGGUUAAUACCCGAUUGUUCUGACGGUACCCAAAGAAUAAGCAC